Molecule: ribosomal RNA, 253 nt
Filed under: uncultured bacterium
Lineage: Bacteria
Description: partial 16S ribosomal RNA
Rfam family: Bacterial small subunit ribosomal RNA
Source: RNAcentral
UACGUAGGGUGCAAGCGUUGUCCGGAAUUAUUGGGCGUAAAGAGCUCGUAGGCGGUCUGUUGCGUCGGCUGUGAAAACCCGAGGCUCAACCUCGGGCCUGCAGCCGAUACGGGCAGACUAGAGUUCGGCAGGGGAGACUGGAAUUCCUGGUGUAGCGGUGAAAUGCGCAGAUAUCAGGAGGAACACCGGUGGCGAAGGCGGGUCUCUGGGCCGUAACUGACGCUGAGGAGCGAAAGCAUGGGGAGCGAACAGG